AUAUAAAAAGAAAAAACUUCAAAUAUCCCCCGUGGUUUAGUAUUUUCUCACUUUAGUAUCCUAUGGUUUAAAGUGUACCACUUUAUUAUCCCGCGGUUUCGUUUUUCUUUUUCCGUCAGAACUUUCGUUAACUUUCCGGUAAAACAUAUAGAAAAAUUUCAGAUAUCCUUCCUGUGGUUUAUCGCAUAUUCACUUUAGUGUCAUGUGAUUUAUCGAAUUUUUAUUUUAGUAACAUGUGGUUUUAACUUUCUCACUGAUUUGAUGAAAAAAUAACGGAGGGGGUAACGGAAAGAAAAAAACGAAACUGCAGGAUAUCAAAGUGAUACACUUUGAAUCACAAUAUAAUAAAGUGAAAAAAAUACUAAAGCACAGGGGUGGUAUAUGAAGUUUUUCUUAAAUACUAAGA
Molecule: long non-coding RNA, 406 nt
Filed under: Ananas comosus (pineapple)
Lineage: Eukaryota; Viridiplantae; Streptophyta; Magnoliopsida; Poales; Bromeliaceae
Description: long non-coding RNA (ACOM_LNC041814)
Source: RNAcentral